UGCAGAAUCCCGUGAACCAUCGAGUCUUUGAACGCAAGUUGCGCCCGAAGCCACUAGGCUGAGGGCACGUCUGCCUGGGCGUCACAC
Molecule: ribosomal RNA, 87 nt
Filed under: Cestrum nocturnum
Lineage: Eukaryota; Viridiplantae; Streptophyta; Magnoliopsida; Solanales; Solanaceae
Description: partial 5.8S ribosomal RNA
Rfam family: 5.8S ribosomal RNA
About the family: 5.8S ribosomal RNA (5.8S rRNA) is a component of the large subunit of the eukaryotic ribosome. It is transcribed by RNA polymerase I as part of the 45S precursor that also contains 18S and 28S rRNA.
Source: RNAcentral